GAUCAUGGCUACAGGAUGAACGCUAGCUACAGGCUUAACACAUGCAAGUCGAGGGGCAGCAUGGUCUUAGCUUGCUAAGGCCGAUGGCGACCGGCGCACGGGUGAGUAACACGUAUCCAACCUGCCGUCUACUCUUUGGACAGCCUUCUGAAAGGAAGAUUAAUACAAGAUGGCAUCAUGAGUUCACAUGUUCACAUGAUUAAAGGUAUUCCGGUAGACGAUGGGGA
This 227-nucleotide ribosomal RNA is filed under the name uncultured bacterium. Its description in RNAcentral is "partial 16S ribosomal RNA". It matches the Rfam family "Bacterial small subunit ribosomal RNA", at positions 15 to 231 of the family's 1533-position model. The record is from RNAcentral.